CCUACGGGAGGCAGCAGUGGGGGAUAUUGGACAAUGGGGGGAACCCUGAUCCAGCGACGCCGCGUGAGUGAAGAAGUAUUUCGGUAUGUAAAGCUCUGUCAGCAGGGAAGAAAGAAAUGACGGUACCUGACCAAGAAGCCCCGGCUAACUACGUGCCAGCAGCCGCGGGAAUACGUAGGGGGCAAGCGUUAUCCGGAAUUACUGGGUGUAAAGGGAGCGUAGACGGUUAAGUAAGUCUGGAGUGAAAGGCCGGGGCCCAACCCCGGGACUGCUCUGGAAACUAUUGAACUUGAGUGCAGGAGAGGUAAGCGGAAUUCCUAGUGUAGCGGUGAAAUGCGUAGAUAUUAGGAGGAACACCAGUGGCGAAGGCGGCUUACUGGACUGUAACUGACGUUGAGGCUCGAAAGCGUGGGGAGCAAACAGGAUUAGAUACCCGAGUAGUC
This 443-nucleotide ribosomal RNA is filed under the name uncultured bacterium. Its description in RNAcentral is "partial 16S ribosomal RNA". It matches the Rfam family "Bacterial small subunit ribosomal RNA", at positions 338 to 795 of the family's 1533-position model. The record is from RNAcentral.